GACGAACGCUGGCGGCGUGCUUGACACAUGCAAGUCGAACGGAAAGGCCCUGCUUUUGUGGUGUGCUCGAGUGGCUAACGUGUGAGUAACGCGUGAGUAACCUGCCCGUGACUUUGGGAUAACUUCAGGAAACUGGGGCUAAUGCCUGAUAUUAGCUCCUGCUGCAUGGUGGGGGUUGGAAAGUUUCGGCGGUUGGGGAUGUACUCGGGGCUUAGCAGCUUGUUGGUGGGGUAGUGGCUUACCAAGGCGUUGACGGGUGGCCGGCCUGAGAGGGUGACCGGCCACACUGGGAAUGAGAUAAGGCCCAGAGUCCUACGGGAGGAAGCAGUGGGGAAUAUUGCACAAUGGGAGGAAGCCUGAUGCAGGAACGCCGCGUGCGGGAUGACGGACUUCGGGUUGCAAACCGCUUUCGCCUGUGACGAAGCGUGAGUGACGGUAAUGGGUAAAGAAGCACCGGCUAACUACGUG
Molecule: ribosomal RNA, 468 nt
Filed under: uncultured bacterium
Lineage: Bacteria
Description: partial 16S ribosomal RNA
Rfam family: Bacterial small subunit ribosomal RNA
Source: RNAcentral